GCACUGCCGAGGAGUCCCACAAUAGGACGAAACGGCCGUCCAGUGU
Schistosoma rodhaini is the source of this 46-nucleotide non-coding RNA. NCBI's taxonomy places the organism in Eukaryota, Metazoa, Platyhelminthes, Trematoda, Strigeidida, Schistosomatidae. The record is from Rfam.